RNAcentral lists this microRNA precursor (68 nucleotides) under Chlorocebus sabaeus (green monkey). RNAcentral's name for it is "miRNA (ENSCSAG00000024234.1)". The stretch from base 1 to 57 matches the Rfam family "mir-1234 microRNA precursor family". Lineage: Eukaryota; Metazoa; Chordata; Mammalia; Primates; Cercopithecidae. The record is from RNAcentral.
UGGGGUGGGGCAGGGAUGGCUUGGGCCUGCCCAGUCGGCCUGACCACGCACCCCACAGGCACCCAGGA